CAGAAAGCAAGCUGGGAGUCUGGAGUGUCACUGGGAUGAGACCAGGAGUCAGGAACCUCCUCUGCUUUCUCACCCGUCCAAGGUCUAAGCUCUGCUGACACAAUCGCAUUCAUACCGCGCUCCGGCUCAGUACAGCAAUGACAAAAUGGCCGGUAUCAGAAACAGAUGAUUUACUUCUACAGGUACUUGUGCAGCAUGCAGAAAUGCCACUGAACUAGCCCAUUCACCAAAGAUCGCCUUUUUUUUCGUCCUCUCUCUUCUUAAGUAAUCAGGUGUACAAGAGGGACUGAAGAGGGAAAGGAAAGUGUCUGAUGGAAAGAUAAGUCUUUAAGAACUAGGAGGAUCUCAAGACCGGAAUUUAGUUUUCUGCUGCUUAAACAACUGUUUUGUAAGCCUCAUGUUAGCCUGUAUGAAUUUAUGAAUAUAAAGACUCUUUG
Molecule: long non-coding RNA, 437 nt
Organism: Grus americana (Whooping crane)
Lineage: Eukaryota; Metazoa; Chordata; Aves; Gruiformes; Gruidae
Exons: 3
Source: RefSeq, a predicted model, not a curated record